Molecule: long non-coding RNA, 3165 nt
Filed under: Sus scrofa (pig)
Lineage: Eukaryota; Metazoa; Chordata; Mammalia; Artiodactyla; Suidae
Description: lncRNA (ENSSSCG00000058223.1)
Source: RNAcentral
AUGGAGGUUCCCAGGUUAGGGGUUGAAUCGGAGCUGUGGCCACUGGCCUACGCCAGAGCCAGAGCCACAGCAACGCGGGACCCGAGCAGCGUCUGCAACCUACACCACAGCUCACAGCAACGCCGGAUCGUCAACCCACUAAGCAAGGGCAGGGGCCGAACCCGCAACCUCAUGGUUCCUAGUCAGAUUCGUUAACCAUUGCACCACGACGGGAACUCCCACAUCUGUUCUUAAUAUGAAUUCCUUACCAUGUUGUAAAGGAAAAAUAACAAUGAUUUAAUCAUGUGGGAACCUAAGUCAGCCUCCCAACCCAUUUUUAAACUAUCUAAAGUUUUCCAUCUAUUUUCCCUAAUGAUGGAUUUCUUUUUACUGCACACUGUUCCUUGAGAUAGUAACUAGAGAUAGUUAUUAAGUAUGUGUGUUUGUGUGUGUAUAGAUAUAGCUUGUAAAUACAUAUGUAAUAUAUAUUUUGGGAGUGCAUCCUCAGUUUUUUUUUUAAUAAUAGAUGUGUAUACUCAAAAGUACUGAGGUCACUUCAAAAGACAGAACAAGGGGCAAGAAGAAAUCAGAGAAUAAAGAUGUCAAUUCGUAAUUUCUCCUUGAUGUGUUCUGAAAUGCUGACUAAACUUAUUUCAAGAGGAGACACUAACUUAAGUAUUUACACAUUAAAGGGACCGGUUUUUUUGUUGUUGUUUUUGUUUAAAGUACCUUGUUUUGCUAACUUUGGCCCACCCAGCUCUAAAGCCAUUUUCCUAAAGUGCUUAAAAAUGCGUGAUGACACACUAGAUUCUAAGAGGAAAUGCUGAUUCAUUUAAAUAAGUGAGUAAUUUCCAUCUUGCUUAAGUAGUUUAAAUGCAAAUGAUCCAUUUUAUGCUUUGUUUUUGCGUCUUCUCUUAGAGAAAUGUGCAUAUUAUCUCCCAGGGAAAGUAGAAAAGAUUCCUUAGACAUUAACAUUUACCAGGGAGCGCACCUGCAAAGACUGUCUCUGCUCCUUUCCCACUGUACAGUUGGAAGGGACAUCAGAAAUCAGCCAUUGCAGCCUCCUCCUUAUACAGAUGGCAAGACUGAGGCAUGGCAAGAUGCCGCUACAUCAGCAAGAAUGCACCGCUCAUUAGCCUACAAAACCAGGACCAAAAUCUUCCUGACUCAUGGACCAAUUAUUCUCCAAUGAAAGGUGGCUAAAGCAGAAACACUGCGGUAUCCUUAGAGAGGAGUUUGCUCAAAAAUUUAAUUCAGAUACAAUUACUUUUCCUAAAAGGACUACCUUCCAUAGAAAUGAAAAAUAGGAAAGGAGAGAAGGACUAUUAACAAAGAAGAAAAAUAAUAACUUUAGGGUAUAAAACAGCCUCUAGAUGAGGUUUUAAAGUGAUUGUGCAACGAACAGUUUUGACAACUGAGAGCAGAGCACAUUUUCAUUCUUUGUACAGAAUCUCAGUUAUUUUCUGGAAAUGCUGGAAGCACAUUUGCAAUAGUUUCACCAGGCAUAAAGAGUGUGGUGUAUUCCACUUGUAUUAAUAUACUCCAGAACUUGCUGUCUAGAUUCCUUUUGACUUUGGUGACCUUUCUUUCCCUUUGGUAUUAGAACUUUCUCUAGUGUGAAUAGUUUAGUCUUCAAAUGCCUUUGGCACUGUAAGCAUCGGAAUUAACUAAAAACAGUGCAUUUUUCUAGGAAAUGAUUCGCCUUAAUUACAAAAGAUUUCCCAAGAGCUUCUCACCAAUCUAAUGUAAAGUUUUUUGGUUUUUGUUUUGUUUUUAAGAAAUACAGAAUCUUAAGAGAUUCUGAUUCAUUGGGUCUGGGAAGGAGCACGUUUAGGAAGCACCCAUAUGAUGCUGAUGUAUGCCAUACUUUCAAAGAUACCGCUUUGUAAGAGCCUUUCCAAGCACUUAUUUUAGAGAUAAUUCGCUUAGAGAGGGGCAGGUAGAAUGUUCCCACAACGUGUUCAGUGUGAUAACUGCUCGAUACUGUGUAGGCCGGUGAUCUGCUUAUUUAAAUGACAAUGUAGAGUCACAUUCUUCCUGUUACAAAGAAGAAUGUUUUCAAAGGUCACAAAAGUUAUGAUACAUAGCUUGAAACAGGCUACUUUAGAGCUUCCUUAACUAAAUCUAAAUUUUGAAAAACAUUUUUUGUUUGGUUUUAAAUAAUCUCCGUUUGUUAAAGAAUAAAUAACAAAUGAGCAUGUAAUAAAGAAAGCAGGCUACCUUUCAGAUAAAUCUACCACAACAUUUAUCUUGAGAUGGAAAUAAGGAACUCCUAAUUGAGAAUCCCCACCCCUGAUGCCUCCUACCACAUCCAAAAUUCCUAACGAAGCUGAUCAGGGCCCUGCGGGGCUCCCAGGCACACAAGCCUUUCUGUGUCCUCCAUUUCUUGCUUUUAGGAAAUAAGCUUCAGCCUCCAUGACCUUUGAGUUCCAAAGGGCAGGUUCAAACAAUUGCUAAUCAAGGAAGGGGAGAUAUACAGAGACCAGGAGGAAUAGUCUAGAGACCACAGUGUACCUUGGGCAGGGUCCUGGUUCCUCCUCAAGGAAUAUGGAUAACAAUAUCUUUUGAAUUCUUCAGCAGCACUAAAACCCCCAGCAAAUGGAAGAUGCUAAUUAGGCAUUCUUCGUUCCAGAAAGAAGGAUCACCAGCUUUGGAAAAACAAUGAAAGCUACCCUGAUCCUUAUCUGUGGCCCUAUUUUUCACUCCUAAAUUAUAAAACCACCUCCCAUUAUCCCCCAAGUGGGCACAAUUGUUAAGGCAUUUGAGCCUGCUGUGGCCCCUUUUGUCUGGCAAAGCAAUAAAGCUAUCUUUUCCUCCUUCGCCCAAAAUUCCUGUCUCCUCAUUUCUAUUCAGCACUGGCAGAUAAGAGUCCAAGUUUCCAGUAACACUAACAAUAUCUGUUGGUUUCUAAAUGUUAUCUAGAAGCAGGACAUGAGCCCAUCAAUGACCAUUAAUGCGUAAAUGUAGACUGACUUAUUAGAAAGCGGUAAUGAGACAAGAAACUAAUGUCUUAAUAAGAAUGCAGCCAAGUAAAGAUCUAGGUUAGAUUCUGGGUUGAGAUGCAAGGGAGAUAAAUGAAGAGAAGAGGAAGGACCUGCUAAGAGAAACUAAACUACUUCAUAAUUUUGACAUUAUGCUGACUCUCUCCCAGAGUCCCUUCAUCUUAAACAUCUAUAACAACCUGUC